Non-coding RNA from Chiloscyllium plagiosum (whitespotted bambooshark), 2508 nucleotides. NCBI's taxonomy places the organism in Eukaryota, Metazoa, Chordata, Chondrichthyes, Orectolobiformes, Hemiscylliidae. The record is from RefSeq and is a predicted model, not a curated record.
CAGAGAUACAUGGAGUACAGUCAGUCAGGCAGUGCUGAAUCACUGAGUCAGACACAAAGUUUUAACAGCAUCUGAAAUUUUUAGACAAUUGUUUAAAGGUGACUGAAGACACCAAUUAGGCAGCCACACAAUCAAAACUAGCAAAUCUAUAAAAUGAGAAAGGAUCAAAUACUGAAAAGGAAUAAACAUCCAAUCAGAUUUGGUACAGUUUGAAAAUUAUGGAGACAUUCAGCUCCUGUACUUCACAGCGACUGCCAAGUAUUGUAUUCAUGAUCGUGCUGGUCUUUUAUUUCUGUAACACAGGUAAAUAUCUUAAUUAUGAUUGACAGUGUACCUUUUAGAAUGAUUUGUAAUUGUGUGUUUGUUUACAUGUGCAUACACAUGCACACACUUAUGAUGAUCCACAUGCAAGUACAUUUAUGGAUAUAUUAUGUUUUAUCUACAACUUGAUUGCAAUACAAAUAAAAUUUAUGAAGGAUGUAAAUACUGAAUGUCACUGUCAUUCAACUGGACACAAAACCUUGACUUUAAUGAGUUUGUGUAAGUACUGGUACGAAGAUGUGGAUCUUUAUAUCCUACAGAUUUCUUUAAAGAAAGGUUGGCAUUUAUGUUGUGCUUUUUAUGACCAUUGGUUGUUUCGAAAAACUUCACAGUCAAUUAGGUAUUUCUGAACUGCGGUCGUUUUUGUAGUUUAGGAAAUGUAGCAAUCAGUAUGCACACAACAGACUCCUGCAACAAGCAAUCUGGUCACAUUUUUGUGUUUUUGUGAUGUUGCUUGAGGAACAUUGGCUCGGAAACUCCCUCGUUCUUUUCUGAAAAAAGAUACCAUGAUAUUCUAUCAAAUCUACCCUUUGGUUUGACAUCUUUCACCUUCUACAACACAGCACAACCUCAAUACCAGAUUGGAAUGUUUGCCUUAAUUUUUGUGCUUGGACUUUGAAAUUAAUCUUGAAGACAGAAGCCUGUGACUCCAAGGCAAGCAUACUAUAAACUAAAUCUUGGAUGACACCAUGCUCUGGGCACUCACCACACAAAAUCAUACUUUGCACAGACUUCAGCAGUUUAACAAUGCUUGUCACAAUAGUUAAAUGUGUAGGAGGCAAUUCAAAGACAAUUUACAAAGGAAAAGCUAUUCUCACUCCUAAAAGCAAAAAGAAUGAAAGGGCAUGGAUUUAAAAUAAUGUUCAAGUGAAGUAAGAUUGAUGUGAGAAAAAUCUUUUUCACACAGGAUAUGGAAAGCAUUACCUGGAAGUGUGUACAGACAUGUUCAAUUGAGGCAUUUAAGAGAGCAUUGGAUGAUUAUUUGGAUAAAAAAAUGGUGUAGGCAUAUGGGAAAGUCAGCACAUUGGCACUAAGUAAUAGAACCAGUGCAGGCAUGAUGGGCUGAAUGGCCACAUUCUGUUCUGUAACAAUUCUGAUUCUGUGAUGCUAGACUAAUAUCUGGAAUGAGAAGCUUUCUUUACAAGGUGACCUUGGAUAGGUUAGGUUGGACGCGUUGAAUAUGCUGGGCUUUAGAAAAGUAAAGGCAACUUAAUUGAAACGUGCAAGAUCCUGAGGGAUUUUUACAAGGUAAAUGUGGAGAGGAUGUGUCCUGUUAUGGGAGGGUUUAGAGCUAUGGACUACUGUUUACAAAUUAGGGGUUACAUGGAACUCUUGAUCAAAGUACAGUGGAAGCAAAGUCCUUCAAUAUUUUAAGGCACCGGUAGCUACAUUUAUAGUAAACAAGGGGUUGAAAGAUUAUCAGGGAUAGACAGGAAUGCAUUUUUAAGGUUACAGUCAGAUCAGAAAUGAUCUUGCUGAGUGGCAGAACAGGUGGGUGGGGCUAAAUGGCCUACUCUUGCUUCUAAUUCAUAAGAUUGAAUGAAAUUUGUUGCAGGCAUGAAGUAAAUAGGAAGGGAGAAGCAAUAAAAGGACCAGAUAGGAGUGCAAAGUUCAAAUAAACAUUGGAUGCAGUUGUUUUGAAAGAAGAUGGGAAGGCUCAAGAAAGGAUGAAAUGGAAUAAGAGAGUAUUUGCAAUAUCAUUAAUGAUUUACCCUCAGUCCUACUUCUAAUAUUAUUAAUGAUUUUCUUGACAGUUACAGUAUGCCUUUUCAGUUAUUAAUGUCUUUUUUUAACCUAGCUCUCGUGGACAUGUGAUUUUUUGGGUUCAAUCCCCAUAUACCUGCUGUGUUAUUAAUGAAAAUGCUGACAGAAAAAUAUCACUCAUCAUUCAAAGCAUUGUGGGGGUACCUAUCCCACAAGAACUGCAGCAGUUUCAAGAAGGCAGUUUACCUGCUCAAAGGCAAUUAAAGAUGAGCACUAAAUGCUGACCAAGUCAGUGAUACUUACAUCCAAAGAACAAAUUAUGGUGACUGGUAAACAGUGACCACAAAAUUACCAGAUCAUCAUAAAAACAUGUCGAGUUCAGUAAUAUGUUUUAGGGAAGGAAAUAAAAACAAGCAAAUUAGAAGCUAUAUAUAUAUGCAUUAAAAAUGUUCAAGAGAAUUCCAAAGCUUUGUGUCCCUCUGA